This 73-nucleotide transfer RNA is filed under the name Candidatus Woesearchaeota archaeon. RNAcentral describes it as "tRNA-Tyr". It matches the Rfam family "tRNA". Rfam says of the family: Transfer RNA (tRNA) molecules are approximately 80 nucleotides in length. Their secondary structure includes four short double-helical elements and three loops (D, anti-codon, and T loops). The record is from RNAcentral. Lineage: Archaea; Nanobdellati; Candidatus Woesearchaeota.
CCCGUCCUAGCUCAAUUGGUAGAGCGCGUGGCUGUAGCCCGCGAGGUUCCUGGUUCGAGUCCGGGGGACGGGA